Molecule: ribosomal RNA, 559 nt
Filed under: uncultured beta proteobacterium
Lineage: Bacteria; Pseudomonadati; Pseudomonadota; Betaproteobacteria
Description: partial 16S ribosomal RNA
Rfam family: Bacterial small subunit ribosomal RNA
Source: RNAcentral
ACGGGAGGCAGCAGUGGGGAAUUUUGGACAAUGGGCGCAAGCCUGAUCCAGCAAUGCCGCGUGCAGGAAGAAGGCCUUCGGGUUGUAAACUGCUUUUGUCCGGAACGAAACGGUCNGGGUUAAUACCCUGGGCUAAUGGCGGUACCGUAAGAAUAAGCACCGGCUAACUACGUGCCAGCAGCCGCGGUAAUACGUAGGGUGCNAGCNUUAAUCGNAAUUACUGGGCGUAAAGCGUGCGCAGGCGUUUUUNUAAGNCAGGCGUNAAAUCCNNGGGCUCANCCUGGGAAUNGCNNUUGUGNCUGCAAGGCUGGAGUGCGACAGAGGGGGAUGGAAUUCCGCGUGUAGCAGUNAAAUGCGUAGAUAUGCGGAGGAACACCGAUGGCGAAGGCAAUCCCCUGGGCCUGCACUGACGCUCAUGCACGAAAGCGUGGGGAGCAAACAGGAUUAGAUACCCUGGUAGUCCACGCCCUAAACGAUGUCAACUGGUUGUUGGGUCUCUUCNGNCUCAGUNNCGAAGCUAACGCGUUAAGUUGACCGCCUGGGGAGUACGGNCGCAAGG